RNAcentral lists this ribosomal RNA (1372 nucleotides) under uncultured bacterium. Its description in RNAcentral is "bacterial SSU rRNA". It matches the Rfam family "Bacterial small subunit ribosomal RNA", at positions 28 to 1381 of the family's 1533-position model. The record is from RNAcentral.
GAUGAACGCUGGCGGCGUGCCUAAUACAUGCAAGUCGAGCGAACGGACGAGAAGCUUGCUUUUCUGAUGUUAGCGGCGGACGGGUGAGUAACACGUGGAUAACCUACCUAUAAGACUGGGAUAACUUCGGGAAACCGGAGCUAAUACCGGAUAAUAUUUUGAACCGCAUGGUUCAAAAGUGAAAGACGGUCUUGCUGUCACUUAUAGAUGGAUCCGCGCUGCAUUAGCUAGUUGGUAAGGUAACGGCUUACCAAGGCAACGAUGCAUAGCCGACCUGAGAGGGUGAUCGGCCACACUGGAACUGAGACACGGUCCAGACUCCUACGGGAGGCAGCAGUAGGGAAUCUUCCGCAAUGGGCGAAAGCCUGACGGAGCAACGCCGCGUGAGUGAUGAAGGUCUUCGGAUCGUAAAACUCUGUUAUUAGGGAAGAACAUAUGUGUAAGUAACUGUGCACAUCUUGACGGUACCUAAUCAGAAAGCCACGGCUAACUACGUGCCAGCAGCCGCGGCAAUACGUAGGUGGCAAGCGUUAUCCGGAAUUAUUGGGCGUAAAGCGCGCGUAGGCGGUUUUUUAAGUCUGAUGUGAAAGCCCACGGCUCAACCGUGGAGGGUCAUUGGAAACUGGAAAACUUGAGUGCAGAAGAGGAAAGUGGAAUUCCAUGUGUAGCGGUGAAAUGCGCAGAGAUAUGGAGGAACACCAGUGGCGAAGGCGACUUUCUGGUCUGUAACUGACGCUGAUGUGCGAAAGCGUGGGGAUCAAACAGGAUUAGAUACCCUGGUAGUCCACGCCGUAAACGAUGAGUGCUAAGUGUUAGGGGGUUUCCGCCCCUUAGUGCUGCAGCUAACGCAUUAAGCACUCCGCCUGGGGAGUACGACCGCAAGGUUGAAACUCAAAGGAAUUGACGGGGACCCGCACAAGCGGUGGAGCAUGUGGUUUAAUUCGAAGCAACGCGAAGAACCUUACCAAAUCUUGACAUCCUUUGACAACUCUAGAGAUAGAGCCUUCCCCUUCGGGGGACAAAGUGACAGGUGGUGCAUGGUUGUCGUCAGCUCGUGUCGUGAGAUGUUGGGUUAAGUCCCGCAACGAGCGCAACCCUUAAGCUUAGUUGCCAUCAUUAAGUUGGGCACUCUAAGUUGACUGCCGGUGACAAACCGGAGGAAGGUGGGGAUGACGUCAAAUCAUCAUGCCCCUUAUGAUUUGGGCUACACACGUGCUACAAUGGACAAUACAAAGGGCAGCGAAACCGCGAGGUCAAGCAAAUCCCAUAAAGUUGUUCUCAGUUCGGAUUGUAGUCUGCAACUCGACUACAUGAAGCUGGAAUCGCUAGUAAUCGUAGAUCAGCAUGCUACGGUGAAUACGUUCCCGGGUCU